RNAcentral lists this ribosomal RNA (305 nucleotides) under uncultured bacterium. RNAcentral describes it as "bacterial SSU rRNA". It matches the Rfam family "Bacterial small subunit ribosomal RNA", at positions 338 to 660 of the family's 1533-position model. The record is from RNAcentral.
CCUACGGGGGGCAGCAGUGGGGAAUAUUGCACAAUGGGGGAAACCCUGAUGCAGCAACGCCGCGUGGGUGAAGGAGCGUUUCGGCGCGUAAAGCCCUGUCAGCGGGGAGGAAGAAAGACGGUACCCGACCAAGAAGCCCCGGCUAACUACGUGCCAGCAGCCGCGGUAAUACGGAGGAUGCGAGCGUUAUCCGGAUUUAUUGGGUUUAAAGGGUGCGUAGGCGGAAUGCCAAGUCAGCGGUAAAAUGUCCGGGCUCAACCCGGGCCGGCCGUUGAAACUGGGGAUCUUGAGUGGGCGAGAAGUAU